This 397-nucleotide ribosomal RNA is filed under the name Capra hircus (goat). RNAcentral describes it as "partial 12S ribosomal RNA". It matches the Rfam family "Bacterial small subunit ribosomal RNA", at positions 929 to 1509 of the family's 1533-position model. The record is from RNAcentral. Lineage: Eukaryota; Metazoa; Chordata; Mammalia; Artiodactyla; Bovidae.
CUAGAGGAGCCUGUUCUAUAAUCGAUAAACCCCGAUAAACCUCACCAAUCCUUGCUAAUACAGUCUAUAUACCGCCAUCUUCAGCAAACCCUAAAAAGGAACAAAAGUAAGCUCAAUCACAACACAUAAAGACGUUAGGUCAAGGUGUAACCCAUGGAAUGGGAAGAAAUGGGCUACAUUUUCUACCUUAAGAAAAUUAAUACGAAAGCCAUUAUGAAAUUAAUGACCAAAGGAGGAUUUAGUAGUAAACUAAGAAUAGAGUGCUUAGUUGAAUUAGGCCAUGAAGCACGCACACACCGCCCGUCACCCUCCUCAAGUAAAUACAAUGCACUCAAGCCUAUUAACACGCAUCAACUACAUGAGAGGAGAUAAGUCGUAACAAGGUAAGCAUACUGGA